UACGUAGGGGGCAAACGUUGCUCGGAAUCACUGGGCAUAAAGCGCACGUAGGUGGCACUGUAAGUCUGAUGUGAAAUCCCUCGGCUCAACCGAGGAACUGCGUUGGAUACUGCCGUGCUUGAGGGUCGGAGGGGAGACAGGAACUCCUGGUGUAGCGGUGAAAUGCGUAGAUAUCAGGAGGAACGCCGGUGGCGAAAGCGUGUCUCUGGACGACAUCUGACACUGAGGUGCGAAAGCUAGGGGAGCAAACGGG
RNAcentral lists this ribosomal RNA (253 nucleotides) under uncultured bacterium. Its description in RNAcentral is "partial 16S ribosomal RNA". It matches the Rfam family "Bacterial small subunit ribosomal RNA", at positions 524 to 776 of the family's 1533-position model. The record is from RNAcentral.